UACGUAGGGUCCGAGCGUUGUCCGGAAUCAUUGGGCGUAAAGAGCGUGUAGGCGGCCAGGUAGGUCGGUUGUGAAAACUGGAGGCUCAACCUUCAGAGGUCGACCGAAACCAUCUGGCUAGAGUCCGGGAGAGGAGAGUGGAAUUCCUGGUGUAGCGGUGAAAUGCGCAGAUAUCAGGAAGAACACCCGUGGCGAAAGCGGCUCUCUGGAACGGUACUGACGCUGAGACGCGAAAGCGUGGGGAGCGAACAGG
Molecule: ribosomal RNA, 253 nt
Filed under: uncultured bacterium
Lineage: Bacteria
Description: partial 16S ribosomal RNA
Rfam family: Bacterial small subunit ribosomal RNA
Source: RNAcentral